GGUUCCAGGCUGAAGAUAAACAUAGGGAAUAAAUAAAAGAAACAAGUACAAUGUGUGAUUCAUAUACUUUUGGCUUCAGAACAGAAGCAGUUUGCCCUAAGAAAGCAGGGUCUUCAGCUUCACAGUCCUUUCAACUAGUGCAGUGCAGUUAGCAUCAAGCCAAAUUUACAAGCCAGGAGAGGCUGACAUCAACGGGAGUUGUCUCACAAAGGAGCAUACAAUGUGACUCCAGAAGAGGAUGAAGACCUAAAGUAAAAUUUCUUCUUGAAGUGAACAAGGCAGUAUUAAUGCUCAAUUAACCCAUAUUUUGCAUGAUUUUCCAACAGAAAAAGGUGAGACUUGCUGUUGUGAGUGAUAUCCCUUAUUUCACACUAUCCAGAACCAAAAUGCUGUAACUCAAAAAAGCUGUGGAGAGGGAACUCUGAAAGAAGUUCACAGGCAGGAGCUGACAAUAGUUCCCUGAGGCUGAACAUGUCACUGAUCCAGGCAAGCAGUGCUGGCCACAGCUGGCUCUUUUCUUCUCCUAGAGAAGUCUUCAGAGGACACAGCCAGCACAUUCCCGCAAAAGCCAGGCCUGCUCCAUGACAAACCCUGGCCUGGCAUGGGAGCAGUCCUUGGACUGCCUGCAAGUCUUCUGCGAUCCAAGAGCAACAGAAUCACCACCUUUGGUACACAGGGUCAGCUACAUGAGACAUUCAUUUAUUUUUUUCCCUUGAUUGUUCUCUGACUCUUGCUUGCUGGCGUUAUUAAGCAUGCCUGAUUUGUUUCUCCCUAAAUUAAAUGUUUUGUUUAAUCUCAAAUGAACUGUCUUAAUUGGUUGAGUAUGUGGAAACAUUUCAGUCUGGGAUUGAUAUAA
Neopsephotus bourkii (Bourke's parrot) is the source of this 856-nucleotide long non-coding RNA. RefSeq lists it as uncharacterized. The transcript has 3 exons. Lineage: Eukaryota; Metazoa; Chordata; Aves; Psittaciformes; Psittacidae. The record is from RefSeq and is a predicted model, not a curated record.